UGGGGAAUUUUGGACAAUGGGCGAAAGCCUGAUCCAGCCAUGCCGCGUGAGUGAAGAAGGCCUUCGGGUUGUAAAGCUCUUUUAGUCGGAAAGAAAGAGUUGCAAUGAAUAAUUGUGAUUUAUGACGGUACCGACAGAAAAAGCACCGGCUAACUACGUGCCAGCAGCCGCGGUAAUACAGAGGUCUCAAGCGUUGUUCGGAAUCACUGGGCGUAAAGGGUGCGCAGGCGGUCUUGCAAGUCAGAUGUGAAAGCCCCGGGCUUAACCUGGGAAUUGCGUUUGAAACUACAAGGCUAGAGUGCAGCAGAGGGGAGUGGAAUUCCAUGUGUAGCAGUGAAAUGCGUAGAGAUGUGGAAGAACACCGAUGGCGAAGGCAGCUCCCUGGGUUGACACUGACGCUCAUGCACGAAAGCGUGGGGAGCAAACA
RNAcentral lists this ribosomal RNA (427 nucleotides) under uncultured beta proteobacterium. RNAcentral's name for it is "bacterial SSU rRNA". It matches the Rfam family "Bacterial small subunit ribosomal RNA", at positions 355 to 774 of the family's 1533-position model. The record is from RNAcentral. Lineage: Bacteria; Pseudomonadati; Pseudomonadota; Betaproteobacteria.